Molecule: long non-coding RNA, 466 nt
Filed under: Brassica napus (rape)
Lineage: Eukaryota; Viridiplantae; Streptophyta; Magnoliopsida; Brassicales; Brassicaceae
Description: long non-coding RNA (BNAP_LNC004489)
Source: RNAcentral
CACAAACUACUUUUUGUUUUCUAUUAAUUACAUAAACUUCUAAAAUUUUCAGAUUUUACACAUCGAUUUAGACGAUGCCAACUAUGUUUAGCAGAAGUGAAGACAAUUUUAGUGUUUAAUUGAGCAUGUGGUUAAACUGUGAAGAAACAAUUCUUUAAAAGUCCUCCAAUAGAUUAUAUUGUUAGUUUUCUUCUCCAUUACGCUUCCAUAGUGCAAUUUUUUUUUAUGAAAUUUCAAAAUUUUUUGAUCAUAGUAAAAAGAAUAUACGUAGAACUUAAUUCAUAACACUAAACUUAUUUAUCAUAGUGUAAAUUAACCUUGAAUCAUUAUCACUACUAUCAAAGCAAAGAACAAGAAUUAGAAAUGCAUAACACUAAACUAAUUCCAAAAUCAGAAACUCGUUUAAAAUUACGUAGUUUUCUUCGUCCUUUUUUACAACAUGGAAAUCGACUCCACUUCGAAUCAA